RNAcentral lists this ribosomal RNA (368 nucleotides) under Lysobacteraceae bacterium SCN 69-25. RNAcentral describes it as "bacterial LSU rRNA". It matches the Rfam family "Bacterial large subunit ribosomal RNA", at positions 2568 to 2925 of the family's 2925-position model. Lineage: Bacteria; Pseudomonadati; Pseudomonadota; Gammaproteobacteria; Lysobacterales; Lysobacteraceae. The record is from RNAcentral.
AGGGUAUGGCUGUUCGCCAUUUAAAGUGGUACGCGAGCUGGGUUCAGAACGUCGUGAGACAGUUCGGUCCCUAUCUGUCGUGGGCGUUGGAGAUUUGAGAGGGGCUGCUCCUAGUACGAGAGGACCGGAGUGGACGAUUCCCUGGUGUUCCGGUUGUCACGCCAGUGGCACUGCCGGGUAGCUAUAAUCGGAAGCGAUAACCGCUGAAAGCAUCUAAGCGGGAAGCGCGCCUCAAGAUGAGAUCUCCCGGAGCACAAGCUCCCUGAAGGGCCCAGGUAGACUACCUGGUUGAUAGGGUGGGUGUGUAUCGCAGCAAUGCCGAGCUAACCACUACUAAUGACCCGUGCGGCUUGAUCAUAUAACUCCAA